This 585-nucleotide ribosomal RNA is filed under the name uncultured bacterium. Its description in RNAcentral is "partial 16S ribosomal RNA". It matches the Rfam family "Bacterial small subunit ribosomal RNA", at positions 355 to 1375 of the family's 1533-position model. The record is from RNAcentral.
UGGGGAAUUUUGGACAAUGGGCGAAAGCCUGAUCCAGCAAUGCCGCGUGUGUGAAGAAGGCCUUCGGGUUGUAAAGCACUUUUGUCCGGAAAGAAAUCCUUGGCUCUAAUACAGUCGGGGGAUGACGUACCGGAAGAAUAAGCACCGGCUAACUACGUGCCAGCAGCCGCGGUAAUACGUAGGGUGCAAGCGUUAAUCGGAAUUACUGGGCGUAAAGCGUGCGCAGGCGGUUUGCUAAGACCGAUGUGAAAUCCCCGGGCUCAACCUGGGAACUGCAUUGGUGACUGGCAGGCUAGAGUAUGGCAGAGGGGGGUAGAAUUCCACGUGUAGCAGUGAAAUGCGUAGAGAUGUGGAGGAAUACCGAUGGCGAAGGCAGCCCCCUGGGCCAAUACUGACGCUCAUGCACGAAAGCGUGGGGAGCAAACAGGAUUAGAUACCCUGGUAGUCCACGCCCUAAAACGAUGUCAACUAGUUGUUGGGGAUUCAUUUCCUUAGUAACGUAGCUAACGCGUGAAGUUGACCGCCUGGGGAGUACGGUCGCAAGAUUAAAACUCAAAGGAAUUGACGGGGUCAUAGCUGUUUCCU